This 497-nucleotide ribosomal RNA is filed under the name uncultured bacterium. RNAcentral describes it as "partial 16S ribosomal RNA". It matches the Rfam family "Bacterial small subunit ribosomal RNA", at positions 28 to 507 of the family's 1533-position model. The record is from RNAcentral.
GAUGAACGCUGGCGGCGUGCCUAAUACAUGCAAGUCGAGCGAACAGAUAAGGAGCUUGCUCCUUUGACGUUAGCGGCGGACGGGUGAGUAACACGUGGGUAACCUACCUAUAAGACUGGAAUAACUCCGGGAAACCGGGGCUAAUGCCGGAUAACAUUUAGAACCGCAUGGUUCUAAAGUGAAAGAUGGUUUUGCUAUCACUUAUAGAUGGACCCGCCCCGUAUUAGCUAGUUGGUAAGGUAACGGCUUACCAAGGCAACGAUACGUAGCCGACCUGAGAGGGUGAUCGGCCACACUGGAACUGAGACACGGUCCAGACUCCUACGGGAGGCAGCAGUAGGGAAUCUUCCGCAAUGGGCGAAAGCCUGACGGAGCAACGCCGCGUGAGUGAUGAAGGUCUUCGGAUCGUAAAACUCUGUUAUUAGGGAAGAACAAAUGUGUAAGUAACUGUGCACGUCUUGACGGUACCUAAUCAGAAAGCCACGGCUAACUACGUG